AAUGCACUACUUAAAAAUUUCAUUUAGAAUUAGAACUAAGGAAACCCUAAAAUUUCCUACAUUGAGCGGCGCCUCCCUCCCGCUUGGCUUCCCAAAUCCUAUCUUCGAUUCCAGCCAUCUCCACCGUCCGGCGCCACCGUCCCAUCUGUCCGACUCCGUCAACUUCUCCAUCUCGCCGGGCAGAGGUUCGCGCACCAGAGGUUCGCCGGCAGAGGUUCAGCGGCCCAGCUCGCUGAAUUGUAGCCAAAGGUUCACCGCUAGAGGUUCGCGCGCCGAAUCGCUGCCACCGUUCGCGAGUCCAGAACCUCCACCGCUGCGAGUCUAGAGGCUUCACCUCCGCGAGUCCAGAACCUCCACUGCUUUGCUAGAUUCAACAUCCGCGAGUCUAGAACCUCCGUGAGUCCAGAACCUCCGCGAGUCUAUAGUUUUUGAGAGAUUCAACCAUUUGUUAGAUUUGAACUUUAUGACUUGAUUAUGAUUUUUGACUGAAUUGCUUAUGAAAUGCUUCUAGUUUUCGAUUCAAAA
Molecule: long non-coding RNA, 525 nt
Organism: Salvia miltiorrhiza (redroot sage)
Lineage: Eukaryota; Viridiplantae; Streptophyta; Magnoliopsida; Lamiales; Lamiaceae
Exons: 2
Source: RefSeq, a predicted model, not a curated record